AGCAUUCCCCGAGGUGGGGUUUGCCGGGUUUGGAUAGAAAGGUGAGGGUGGAUAGGCUGGGUACUGUGUGUAGGGUGGUUAGAAAGGUGGAUAAGGCAUGUAGGUAGGGUAGGGGUGAAAGCUGGAGUAAUCCGAUGUACCUCCCAUCGGAUACCCUGAACCCUGUGGGAAGGGUGGAUAAUGGGGUGGAAAACCAUACCCCGAGGCCUGAACGCCUCCCUGUGACUCCCCUGUCCCUUUUUCCUGCAUGCUCACAUCCAG
RNAcentral lists this long non-coding RNA (261 nucleotides) under Manihot esculenta (cassava). RNAcentral describes it as "long non-coding RNA (MESC_LNC006108)". The record is from RNAcentral. Lineage: Eukaryota; Viridiplantae; Streptophyta; Magnoliopsida; Malpighiales; Euphorbiaceae.